Molecule: ribosomal RNA, 497 nt
Filed under: uncultured bacterium
Lineage: Bacteria
Description: partial 16S ribosomal RNA
Rfam family: Bacterial small subunit ribosomal RNA
Source: RNAcentral
GAUGAACGCUGGCGGCGUGCCUAAUACAUGCAAGUCGAGCGAACAGACGCGGAGCUUGCUCCUCUGACGUUAGCGGCGGACGGGUGAGUAACACGUGGAUAACCUACCUAUAAGACUUGGAUCACUUCGGGAAACCGGAGCUAAUACCGGAUAAUAUAUUGAACCGCAUGGUUCAAUAGUGAGAGUCGGUUUUGCUGUCACUUAUAGAUGGAUCCGCGCCGCAUUAGCUAGUUGGUAAGGUAACGGCUUACCAAGGCAACGAUGCGUAGCCGACCUGAGAGGGUGAUCGGCCACCCUGGAACUGAGACACGGUCCAGACUCCUACGGGAGGCAGCAGUAGGGAAUCUUACGCAAUGGGCGAAAGCAUGACGGAGCAACGCCGCGUGAGUGAUGAAGGUCUUCGGAUCGUAAAACUCUGUUAUUAGGGAAGAACAAAUGUGUAAGUAACUAUGCACGUCUUGACGGUACCUAAUCAGAAAGCCACGGCUAACUACGUG